UACUGGCAGAACGAGUGGUGCCCACGAAUAUUGGGUCUAAAGAGACCGUAGCUGGUCUGUUAAGUCCACUGUGAAAUCUUGGGGCUCAACCUCAAGGCGUGCAGUGGAUACUGGCAGACUUGAGAGCGGGGGAGGUCAGGGGUACUUACGGGGUAUGAGUAAAAUCAGUUGAUCCUGUAAGGACCACCAGUGGCGAAGGCGCCUGACCAAAACGCGUCUGACAGUGAGGGUCGAAGGCUAGGAGAACGAAUCG
Molecule: ribosomal RNA, 253 nt
Filed under: uncultured archaeon
Lineage: Archaea
Description: partial 16S ribosomal RNA
Rfam family: Archaeal small subunit ribosomal RNA
Source: RNAcentral